UGGGGAAUUUUGCACAAUGGGGGAAACCCUGAUGCAGCGACGCCGCGUGAUUUAGAAGGCCUUCGGGUUGUAAAAAUCUUUUCUAUGGGAAGAAAAUGACAGUACCAUAGGAAUAAGGACCGGCUAAUUACGUGCCAGCAGCCGCGGUAAUACGUAAGGUCCGAGCGUUGUCCGGAAUCAUUGGGCGUAAAGGGUACGUAGGCGGGUAAGCAAGUUAGAAGUGAAAUCCUAUAGCUCAACUAUAGUAAGCUUUUAAAACUGCUCAUCUUGAGGUAUGGAAGGGAAAGUGGAAGUCCUAGUGUAGCGGUGAAAUGCGCAGAUAUUAGGAGGAAUACCGGUGGCGAAGGCGACUUUCUGGCCAUAACCUGACGCUGAGGUACGAAAGCGUGGGUAGCAAACAGG
RNAcentral lists this ribosomal RNA (402 nucleotides) under bacterium. RNAcentral describes it as "partial 16S ribosomal RNA". It matches the Rfam family "Bacterial small subunit ribosomal RNA", at positions 355 to 776 of the family's 1533-position model. The record is from RNAcentral.